GGCUAGUCUGGGGCCAAGAAUAGUUCAGACAUUCUUUCCUUCCUCUUGUGGUACCCUUACAUUUUCCUAUGCUUAGUUUUCUCAGGUCUGGAUCUACUCACACAGGCUGUGAUUCAAGCCCCGUUCUCCUCUGAAAUGUCGAUCCAUGGCUGGAAUGUAUAAUCUUGCCAGCCCUCAGUCAGUUAUAUCUCACAAUUAUCAGAAGGUGAUAAUCACGGGUCCGGCCAUGCUUUCAAGGGCCCAGCCGUGCAAUCGGACCACUCACAUCCCAGGUUGUCUCCGUUCCUCAAGUGACACUGGUCUUCUUGGUUUUGGAGGAUAACUGGAGCCAAGCUGGGAGACAUGGAGGUCAUCCUUGAGGUACCGGGUCUAAAGAUUUUAACAGCCCACGUAGGUUUGGCCAAGCCACCUGACCAGGAGGUGGAAGUGCAUCAGGCUCCAGGCAGGUUUGCAGAAGGCUUCCUGGAGUGUCAGAGAGAAAGUUCUCUGGGGCUCUAUAACCCCGAACGUGGACAAGUUGAGGCCUGCACCUGGCUCUAGGAUCCAACCAGUGCACGGUCUAUGCAGACCUGGCCAAGUGUCAUGCUGUUGUAGCCAAGACUGAACUUGGUGUUCUUUAUUUGCAGAUAUUUAAAUAUAACCCAGUUUUUCUUCACGUAUAUAGUAAAUCUCUUUAUUACUUAACCCUGUUUUUCACUCCUGCAGUUUGAAAGUCAGAAAAGUGACAGUGUCCUGACUGCAGGGAUUUUUUUUUUUCAUUAAGCCUGGGGUCUCUAAUAAG
This 781-nucleotide long non-coding RNA is filed under the name Cricetulus griseus (Chinese hamster). Its description in RNAcentral is "lncRNA (ENSCGRG00015034086.1)". Lineage: Eukaryota; Metazoa; Chordata; Mammalia; Rodentia; Cricetidae. The record is from RNAcentral.